Spodoptera litura is the source of this 2980-nucleotide long non-coding RNA. RefSeq lists it as uncharacterized. The record is from RefSeq and is a predicted model, not a curated record. Lineage: Eukaryota; Metazoa; Arthropoda; Insecta; Lepidoptera; Noctuidae.
ACGCCACAUAAGUACCAGGUAUCACUUGCGUACUUAGACGUACGUACUCGGUUACUGUGACCGCGACACAUCGGAGCCACACAAACAUCUGUAGGAACAUAACCUCACAGCGAGGUCGGUCCCGCCACGUACUGGACUAUUUACACUGGACGAAGCAACUCGUCCCCUAACAACUCGCCACGGAGCGGGCCUUACAGCGCUGUGUCCGUUAUUUAAGGACUUCUAAUCUAGUGAUGGCUUAUUUGUUGUGCUAGCAGUAACUUAAUCUCCGACUAGCCUUAUUUGUAAAAAAAAAAUUAAGUAAUGCGGUUUUUACCUCAUAAUGUUCACCUGCGUCUGUUUUAAAAGGUUACUAAGGUAUUUUCCACGUUUCCCAUUCCUCUUCUUUCCAAUUAACAUCGACCUCAAACUUUUCACUCGAUUAUUUCACAGAUCUAGUUAAGCGAAAUCUCAUUGGUCUUUUCAUCGAAACGUCUUUCUUGGGAGAGCCUCGGGACGGGUCGACCGGAUUGAUUCCAUCGGCCUCGCAGAAGACUGGCGUAAAUCAACAUUUUACUUAUUUCGCUACCUGAGUGAGGCUACCGGAGACCCAACCCACCCCCCCCAUCCCCCAAAGGUUGGCAAUAUACUUAUAACACCUCUUGUGUCCAUGGGCGACGAUGAUAGCAUACCGUCAAGUGAUCCGUCUGCUCGAUUGCCAUCCUAUCCCAAAAUAAGAAGGCACCAUCAAGAAACUCAGGCUCUCCCUAUUUGUAGGCAACCGUUAUUUCUGAGAAUAAUAUUAAAACUCACGAAAGUACCUAAAUAUCUUACUAUAACUAACCUAAACUUGAACUAUUUUAACUAUUUAUUGAUUACUUAUCUUGACAACUGUCAACUUGAGACCGAUAGGUCUCCUUAUUUAUAAGAUCAGUGCCAACGAUGGCGCUAUUUGUAAAACAACAUGCUAUACGGCUAUUAAAUACAAAGGAUUUGUGAGUUCACAGGUAGGAACUACACCUUCUUGGGCGGCGAGAACAGCAGCAGCGAUGGUGGCAGAUGGUAACUAUGCGCGGGAAUGAGAUCGUGUCCUUGUGACAUUUAAAAGCCGAUGCGUUAUUUUUAUUUUCUCAAUGGUUUAAUUAAGAGGUGUAAUUCCUAAUUAACAUACGAAGCCUGUCUUUUGAUGUUAAUCAGUAAUUAAUACCUCUUCUUUCAAAUUAGACUUAUACGAGAUCUGUGAUCUGUUCGAGUGACACGAGGGCUAGAUGCCUUUCUAUCAUCCCUUGCCUCCUUUCCUCUCUAAAUCUUCCUUCUUAUUCGUCACUUGGUCAGAUACUCCAAUGUCAAGUAUCAAGGAUGGUUCUCAUCAUCCUAGGUUUUGAUAGGAGCAGUAGGAAUACGAGCAGGUCUUAGCCAUCGGAUUAGGUAGUGCAGUGGCGUUCUGUAUCUUACACUAUCCUUACUUCAUUAAAUCUAUCGUUAUUUUACUCAAUUAUUCUAACGUAGUUAUAAGGUUAUCGGUAUGCCAGUGUGUAUGAAAGUUAUUAAAUUGUUUGUAAGCUGUAUGAAAAGUGAUCGGAAUGUGUGGAUGCUGUGUGAAAGGAUGCAUUAAGAUGGAAGGCGGAGGAUAUAGAGUAGGGAUAACCAUCCCAAAAAUGUUUCGAAAUUGCCGGUCAACGUACGUUUUGCAAGCAGUGUAAUCAGUCUCAUUGGAAGUUGUCUCAAUAUGGAUAGUAGCGUGCUGAAAAUUUACCUCAAAAUGUAUGAGAGAUGGAUGAACGUUCGCUAAAAAGUAUGCAAGAUGAAUAAUGAAAGCUUUCUUUUAUUUCAACUUAUUUUAUUGAAUGAAAUAAUUCAUUCGCAAUGUAUGAUGUAAAACCAAGCGCUGACGUUUUUCUGAAUAUUAUUAUAUAAUUUUAAUUAAUCAAACAGGUCAUUAAAGAUAAGUACUGCAGGUAUUCAAAUGCCCGCAUGUUGGAGCACAUUUAUUAUUCUUUUUUAUAUGAGUUUAUCAAAUUACCUUGCGACAUUAUUCUGUGUUAUGUAAACGUAAAAUAUAAGUCGGUGUUAGCAGUAGCAUUGUAUACCUGUCCGGGUCAUUAAACGCUUGUAUGUGUCAUUUGGUUUUUAUUUAUAUUUACCUAAUUAAUCUUCUGUUUGUACUAAAGAGUUUGUCUUUAAAGACUGCAAAAAUCUAAUUAUGUUUCCUAAAUUCACAAUGUAACACAGAGAUUAAUAUCAAAUUGAAACUGCCUCACGUCUAAUUUUAUUCAUUACGAGGAACUGCGCAGUAAAGAGGAAGUGAAAUAUUGUUUUGGUAUAUUCUGAAAUUCAUUUAUAAUUCUUAUGUUCACAGGAGGAACCGGGUGUAAAAUCUAAUUAAUGGAGCGUCAUUCCACAAUACCUCAAUGGAAUUACAGGACAGAGUGUUGACAUAUUUUUCAUAGUUACUUUUGAACAAAUAAAUUUUUAGUUUGACAUAUUUCCAUCUCCUACUGUGGUGUUUUAUAAUAUUCAUUCUCAUACAGGUCUAACGGUUAAAGACCGGGUUGUGGGGCAUCAGGUCCUGGAUUCGAUGCCAGGCUGGUUUAUCCAACUGCGUUGUAAGUUCAAAGAAAUACAUUUAUUAAAAAAAUAUGUAUGAGAUGAUAACAUGUAACUUUUUCUAUUUAGGGGCCAGCUAUAGGCGCCAGCAGCAGUAACAUGGGCCAACACUCAUGAUCAUCAGCUGGAAGACAUCCACUACUAAACGGAGGCCUUCAUUUAGCCCUCAACAUCGAACAAUGACUCAUCAGUCAUCCAAUGACUCCCCGUGACUGACGAAGUCUGCCAAUGCUACGUCUAACGGUACCAGCCACGGGCGCCAGCAGCGGUCCGGUCGCCAGCAGGGGACCAGUGCUGAGCUUCAACCUCGCCAAAAGUCUUCCACAUCGGCCUGUGGAAACGCCUUUCAAAUUCAGUCGUUUUAUAUCAUUAAACAAUGAAAUUGUGUGUAUUU